UCAUUCAAAACAAACAACUGAG
Molecule: unclassified non-coding RNA, 22 nt
Filed under: Mus musculus (house mouse)
Lineage: Eukaryota; Metazoa; Chordata; Mammalia; Rodentia; Muridae
Description: oocyte_clustered_small_RNA5220
Source: RNAcentral